This 250-nucleotide ribosomal RNA is filed under the name Salmonella enterica. RNAcentral's name for it is "partial 16S ribosomal RNA". It matches the Rfam family "Bacterial small subunit ribosomal RNA", at positions 1 to 247 of the family's 1533-position model. The record is from RNAcentral. Lineage: Bacteria; Pseudomonadati; Pseudomonadota; Gammaproteobacteria; Enterobacterales; Enterobacteriaceae.
AAAUUGAAGAGUUUGAUCAUGGCUCAGAUUGAACGCUGGCGGCAGGCCUAACACAUGCAAGUCGAACGGUAACAGGAAGCAGCUUGCUGCUUCGCUGACGAGUGGCGGACGGGUGAGUAAUGUCUGGGAAACUGCCUGAUGGAGGGGGAUAACUACUGGAAACGGUGGCUAAUACCGCAUAAUGUCGCAAGACCAAAGAGGGGGACCUUCGGGCCUCUUGCCAUCAGAUGUGCCCAGAUGGGAUUAGCUU